This 378-nucleotide unclassified non-coding RNA is filed under the name uncultured Oligoflexales bacterium. RNAcentral's name for it is "contains 16S-23S intergenic spacer region". The record is from RNAcentral. Lineage: Bacteria; Pseudomonadati; Bdellovibrionota; Oligoflexia; Oligoflexales.
UCCGGCUUAACGCCGGCGGUCUCCCUAGAGUGCCCAACUGAAUGGUGGCAACUAAGGAUAGGGGUUGCGCUCGUUAAGGGACUUAACCCGACAUCUCACGAUACGAGCUGACGACAGCCAUGCAGCACCUGAACCGUCGGUCCCUUGCGGGAAGACCGUAUCUCUACGGUUGUCCGACGUUAUCUAACCCAGGUAAGGUUCUUCGCGUUGCAUCGAAUUAAACCACAUGCUCCACCGCUUGUGCGGGCCCCCGUCAAUUCCUUUGAGUUUUAAUCUUGCGACCGUACUUCCCAGGCGGGGUACUUAAUGCGUUAGCUGCGGCACUGUAGGGGUCAAUUCCCACAACACCUAGUACCCAUCGUUUACGGCGUGGACUAC